RNAcentral lists this long non-coding RNA (1270 nucleotides) under Physeter macrocephalus (sperm whale). RNAcentral's name for it is "Physeter catodon (sperm whale) lncRNA (ENSPCTG00005006246.1)". The stretch from base 1110 to 1182 matches the Rfam family "tRNA". The record is from RNAcentral. Lineage: Eukaryota; Metazoa; Chordata; Mammalia; Artiodactyla; Physeteridae.
CAUGCACCGCAACUACUGAGCCUGCGCUCCAGAGCCCACAAGCCACAGCUACUGAGCCCAUGUGCCACAACUACUGAAGCCUGCGUGCCUAGAGCCCGUGCUCCACAACAGGAGAGACCACCGCAGUGAGAGGCCGGCGCACUGCAGCGAGGAGUGGCCCCCGCUCGCCACAGCUAGGGAGAGCCCCGCACAGCAACAAAGACCCAAUGCAGCCAAAAAUAAAUAAAUAAAUUUAUAUUUUAAAAAAGAUAAUUAUAUACAUACACACGUGUGCACAUAAUGUAUUUCUCUCCUUACUACUAUUAACUCAGUAAUGCAAUAGUGUAGAAAAAAAUCUAAGGCCAUGGAAAAUAUUUAAGAACAAUUUUCAAAGGUUAAAAUAAAUAUAAAAGUUAUUCAUGAAAUGGUGAUGUGUCUUUUAUACACUCCGUAGGUUUCUGCUUGCAUACACACAUGCACACAUAAACAUACUUUCAAUAAAAGCAAACUUCUGUGAAUGACAGAUCUUUUUGAAUAAGUUUUUUUAAUCUAUCAAUUUUUUACUCGUGUAUUUUAGCAUUCUUGUUAAAACAAACAUUUAUAAAUUGUACUUAAUUCUAAUUAGGUUGUUGUCAAUAUUAUUCUAUAUUUCCUAGUGUAAAAAAACUACAGAAAUUGUUUAAAAUAUAGAAAGUUUUACCUUCAAUCUCCACUAAAUAUUUAUUGUACAUAUAUGUACAAUAAAUAUAAAAAGUUCUAUUCUUUCAAAUUUUUAUAUUUGGCCAUUAACAUAAGCCAAAUAAACUUUAUGGAGGUUGCACCAGUGGAUGUGUUGGGAGCCACAUCCUUGUACCUUCUGGUAUACAGACAAAUUUUAGCACUAGGAAUCCAGUAGGAAAGUAAUCCAAUGAUAUUCAUAAUAAAAUGGUAUCACUGUGAAAGUAAUAUUGCUGUACGCACAAUGACAUCUACCAACUGGUGUGUGCUUACUUCUGCUGUUAUACCUACCUCUGCUCAUUCAAUGCCAACAGCCUAUUGCCGGUAAGACACUGAAACACAGACAGAUAUUUCUUUCUUAAUAAUUAUGUUUUCAUCGAGUGUUACAUGAUUAAGGAUAUCGUCUCGGGGGUUCCCUGGUGGUCCAGUGGCUAAGACUCCGCACUGCCAAUGCAUGGGGCCUGGGUUCAAUCCCUGGUCAGGGAACUAGAUCCCACGUGCUGCAACUAAAGCUUUCACAUGCCGCAACUAAAAAGAUCCCACGUGCCGCAACUAAGACCCGACGCAGCCAAAU